CCUACGGGAGGCAGCAGUGAGGAAUAUUGGUCAAUGGACGAGAGUCUGAACCAGCCAAGUAGCGUGAAGGAUGACUGCCCUAUGGGUUGUAAACUUCUUUUAUAUGGGAAUAAAACGUUCCACGUGUGGGAUUUUGUAUGUACCAUAUGAAUAAGGAUCGGCUAACUCCGUGCCAGCAGCCGCGGUAAUACGGAGGAUCCGAGCGUUAUCCGGAUUUAUUGGGUUUAAAGGGAGCGUAGGUGGAUGGUUAAGUCAGUUGUGAAAGUUUGCGGCUCAACCGUAAAAUUGCAGUUGAAACUGGCAGUCUUGAGUACAGUAGAGGUGUGCGGAAUUCGUGGUGUAGCGGUGAAAUGCUUAGAUAUCACGAAGAACUCCGAUUGCGAAGGCAGUUCACUGGACUGCAACUGACACUGAGGCUCGAAAGUGUGGGUAUCAAACAGGAUUAGAUACCCUGGUAGUC
RNAcentral lists this ribosomal RNA (460 nucleotides) under uncultured bacterium. RNAcentral's name for it is "partial 16S ribosomal RNA". It matches the Rfam family "Bacterial small subunit ribosomal RNA", at positions 338 to 795 of the family's 1533-position model. The record is from RNAcentral.